CCUCCCUCUGGCGGCGUGCUUAACACAUGCAAGUCGAACGGAAAGGCCCUGCUUUUGUGGGGUGCUCGAGUGGCGAACGGGUGAGUAACACGUGAGUAACCUGCCCUUGACUUUGGGAUAACUUCAGGAAACUGGGGCUAAUACCGGAUAGGAGCUCCUGCUGCAUGGUGGGGGUUGGAAAGUUUCGGCGGUUGGGGAUGGACUCGCGGCUUAUCAGCUUGUUGGUGGGGUAGUGGCUUACCAAGGCUUUGACGGGUAGCCGGCCUGAGAGGGUGACCGGCCACAUUGGGACUGAGAUACGGCCCAGACUCCUACGGGAGGCAGCAGUGGGGAAUAUUGCACAAUGGGCGGAAGCCUGAGGCAGCAACGCCGCGUGCGGGAUGACGGCCUUCGGGUUGUAAACCGCUUUCGCCUGUGACGAAGCGUGAGUGACGGUAAUGGGUAAAGAAGCACCGGCUAACUACGU
This 466-nucleotide ribosomal RNA is filed under the name uncultured bacterium. Its description in RNAcentral is "partial 16S ribosomal RNA". It matches the Rfam family "Bacterial small subunit ribosomal RNA", at positions 36 to 506 of the family's 1533-position model. The record is from RNAcentral.